UUAGGGCCGGGUGGUUAGGCGCUCCUUUUGGGUAGGAGAAGAGUUGCGUUCGAACCGCAAUAAUCUGAAUGGUUUCUAGAAUUAAUAGAAAUGUAAUGGAUAUAGAAUAUGUAUUUAUAUAAAUAUAUAAGUAUACAAAGAAACUAUUAUGGACAUCUAUGCUAUGUAUUAACGAGUUUGAAUUAUUUACUCCUUUUUCUAAAUUUUAAAUUAUAACUUAGGUUUAUUAAGUUGAAUUAUUUAUUGUAAUUUAAAAUAAAAAUUAUGGAAAACAAAUAUAAACUCUAAGAGAAAUCAGUUAGUUAACGAAGUGAAUUGAAAUAUCUUAGUAACUUCAGGAAAAGAAAUCAAAAGAGAUUCUAUUAUUAACGUGAGCUAGAAUAGAACAGUCUAUAUAUUAAGUAAAACGGUCAAGAAACUGUUUGAAUUUAAUGGGGAACCUUCCUCAAAGGCUAAAUAUAAUACAUGAGCGAUAGCGCAAAGUAUCAUGAGAGAAAGAUUAGAAAUAGUAGUUUUAUAAGCAGUUCAAGCGAAAGUGAGAACGUACCUUUUGCAUAAUGGGUCACCAAGUUAACAUUAGAUGCGAGUGAAAGCGCAGAUAAACCAAUCGUUAAAAUAACGAGAAAUUAUAGUGUCUAAAGUUAGACCCGAAGCCCGGUGAUUUUACCACAAUCAGGAUUAUAAAAGUCCGAACGGGUUAUCGUUGCAAAGAUAUCCGAAGAAUUGUGGUAGGUAGUGAAAGACAAAACUGACCGGGAUAGCUGGUUUUCUGCGAAACCUAUAACAGUAGGCAAUUUGAGUCACAUCUUAGCAGGUACAGAAUUUAAUCUCAGACAAGAUGUAUAAAUUUUAAAGUGUAAGCUUUAAAAUUACAUUAUAUUUUUGUAUAUAUCGGGGGAUCGUGAAGAUUUUAUCGGUGAGUAUGUAGACUCGGAAUGGCAAAGAUGAAUCUUGAAUUAUCGGACAUAGAAUGAUAAGGUUGUAUGUCAAAAGGGAAACAGCCCAGAACAAGAGUUAAGGUUCCAAAAUUAUUAGUUAAGUGAAAUUAAGAAAGUUUUUAUUAAAGUCGAUAAGGAGAUUGGCUUAGAAGCAGCCGUAAUUUGAAGAUCUCGUAACAGAGCACUUAUUAAGUUUUAAAAGCAUCGAAAAUUUAACGGAUCUAAACAAUAUACCGACACCUUGUCCAAUAUUCGCAAAAACAUAAAGUUGUAUGCGAAUUAAGGGGUAGCAGAACGUUGGAUUAAAUUAAGAUAUUAGAUUAUUAAAAAUAUAUAACAAAUAAUUCAAGUGAUAAUGGUGACAUGAGUAACAAAUAAGAAGGUAAUACCACUUAUUCUUUAUUUUCGGAUAAAGAAGGUGGUUUAAGAUACCUCCGCCUAAAGCUUAUGGUUUUGGUAUAAAGUAACGGCCUCUAAGUUUAUAACCUAAAGGUUUAAACGAUGAGAAAAUCUUAUUUACUAAAAACAACAUUUCUAAGUGAGAAGUGUGCUGGAAAAACUGUAAAUAUAUAUUUAUUAAAUAAAUAUGAAAAUAACCGUACCUAGAAACUGCUACAAGUAAGCUAGUAGAGAAUACGAAGGCGUUAAUGGGCUAACAAUCAUAAAGGAACUCGGCAAACUAACUACCGUAACUUCGGGACAAGGAGAGCUCAUUAGUCUUGAUUAAUAUCAGGUAAAAAGGAAGAAGCAUAAAAUAGUGUUGUACGACUGUUUAAUUAAAACACAGCACUUUGCUAAAAGAUGAAAAAUCUAAGUAUUGAGUGUGAUGUCUGCCCGAUCCCGGCUGGUUAACAGAUACUACUGAAUUGUUAAAAAAUUUGGUGUUGACGGAACCCCCGGUCAAUGGCGGCCUUAACGUGAGGGUCCUAAGGUAGCGAAAUGCCUUGGCCGUUAAAUGCGGUCUUGCAUGAAUGAUGUAACGAUACAACAGCUGUCUCUAUGAUUGACCCAGUGAAAUUAUAAUAACUGUGCAGAUACAGUUUACCUCUAGUUAGACGAGAAGACCCUAUGCAGCUUUACUGUUACUAAUUAUAGGAUAUGCUAGAAAAAUUUCAGGUUAUAAGGUAAAUUGAUUAAAUAAAAAUGAGAAUCCUUUAUUUCCCUAUCAUAUUCCAGAAUUAAUUCUUAUUCUAAGAAUUAACCUAAUCUGACUUAUAUUUAUUAAUAUAAGUAGUAGCCUUGGUAAAGGAAUGUAUGGCUAGGAGACAGUUUAUGUGGGGCACAGACCCCUUAAAGAGUAAAAGGGAGUGUCUAAAUAUCAUAAGUUAUAAAUUUAUAACGGUGUUUGUGGUUUUAUGUAGUUCAAGUGUUAUUCACUUUCUAUAUUCAAUCUUCUAUACUUAUUUAUAGAAAAGUACCUUUAUUGGUACAUAUAAAUAAAGAUAAGCAAUUUUAUUAAGGUACGUUUUUCCCUAUAGAGAAAAUAGGAGUAGAAAAGAAAAAAGUACGAAAAGUCUUUUUUGAAUCAGUUAUUUAAAUAAAAAUAAUAAUGAGUACUACUUACAAAGCUCAACGGCUAAAUCGUGCCUUACUGUUUGAUUAACAACAAAUCUUACAGUUGCGUAAGCAGGGCAUAGGAUCACAAGAUGCAACAAGGAAAGAUCUUGGAUUAUUGGAAAAGCUACGCUAGGGAUGUUUGUCCUUCAAUAUUUUAUUAAUUAUUGAGAAUAUUAUUGGGUUAAUUUCAAGAAUUACUUUGAAAAUAAGUAAAUUUGAAGCGAAAUUUAUCUUAGCAUUAAUUUAAAAAGAUAAAAUCGUUCAACGACUAUAAGGUGAGUUAUGCUAACAAUAAUCCUUUUUAACACCCAACAUUUUUAUUAUACAUACUUAUAAAAAAAAAUAAAAGUAAAUUUAAACCAUUUUUUAAUGAAAAAAAAUACAAAUCUUAAUCUU
Molecule: ribosomal RNA, 2891 nt
Filed under: Verticillium nubilum
Lineage: Eukaryota; Fungi; Ascomycota; Sordariomycetes; Glomerellales; Plectosphaerellaceae
Description: bacterial LSU rRNA
Rfam family: Bacterial large subunit ribosomal RNA (bases 126-2663)
Source: RNAcentral